GACGAACGCUGGCGGCGUGCCUAAUACAUGCAAGUCGAGCGGACCGAAGGGAGCUUGCUCCUUUAGGUUAGCGGCGGACGGGUGAGUAACACGUGGGCAACCUGCCCUGCAGACUGGGAUAACUUCGGGAAACCGGAGCUAAUACCGGAUAACACCGAAACCGCAUGGUUUUCGGUUGAAAGGCGGCAUUAGCUGUCACUGCAGGAUGGGCCCGCGGCGCAUUAGCUAGUUGGUGAGGUAACGGCUCACCAAGGCGACGAUGCGUAGCCGACCUGAGAGGGUGACCGGCCACACUGGGACUGAGACACGGCCCAG
Molecule: ribosomal RNA, 315 nt
Filed under: uncultured bacterium
Lineage: Bacteria
Description: bacterial SSU rRNA
Rfam family: Bacterial small subunit ribosomal RNA
Source: RNAcentral